Clupea harengus (Atlantic herring) is the source of this 6605-nucleotide long non-coding RNA. Lineage: Eukaryota; Metazoa; Chordata; Actinopteri; Clupeiformes; Clupeidae. The record is from Ensembl.
CGCCUUGCAAACACCAGCAGCAACAACAACAUGUCGUGUCUCUCCUUCACAUGACCAUAUAAACACUACUUUAUAACAUACCUUAAAAGUGAUAAAAACCUGCAUAAAUGAUUACAUGAUGAUGAAAAUGAUUACAGCACCCAAGGCCUAAAACCCUAACCCCCUUUCACAUUGUAGUAUGGCAGUCUUACUGGGGUUAACCAACAAUUUUCCACUAAUUAACUCUUUCGGCAAUAUCAUUUGUAUAUGAAGUUAGCUACUGCAUAGAUCUACUGACUGAAAUAGUCUCUUUUACAUUCAGCCUCCAAAGUCAUGGACUACAUGUUAAGACUUGUCAUAACAACAACUGUCAUAACAACUGUGUAUCCUAACUUAAUGAGGUAGCUGCCAUUCCCGAUUUUAAACCCAGGUCCCUUCAGUUAUAAUUAUUUGAAAACAUGAAGUAAUCAGACACAAGAAACGAAUUAACGUACUAAAAUAAUUUAAUAACAAUCAAAAGUUUAAAAUAAUGUGCAACAAUACAAUUGUGACAAUUCUAAACAGGUUUUAAGAUGCAACAAAAACACUUUCCCAGCCCAGAGCUACACGAUGUACUACAACUACAGGGGAGACAGAUAUAGAAGAGCAACUGUGCACACUUCCUAUUUAAAUUAUACAGAACAUAACCACACUAAUGCCUGUUGCCAACAACACACCAUGAAGUGAAAUGUCUCAUGGAGGACUUCAGUGUGUUCCCUGCGCUGAAUCUUGUGUAAGUCUUUUAGCAAGGUAUAAUAACCCAGUAGAAAGCAAAAUAAUUGCCAUCCAGAGCUCUGUGGACACAAGAUUCAGUUAAUAUGCCACUGAAUUGCUGGCCUAUUCCUAUUACUAAGGAAAUUACUGCAGUUAUUUUUUCUUUUUUUCAGGCUUUCAAGUAGAGAUCCAGUCUUCGGAUUCAAAUAAUUUAUCUUCCUAUUUCAGGGAGACGAAGAUUCGUUAGGCUCCUGGAAAAUGGAGAUCAGAGUGGACUUUAGAGAGAAGCUGGAUGCUUGAUGAGCACAGCACAGACACUGAGUACACACUGCAGUGCUCUUUGUGUACACUAGACACAGUGUGUGUGCUGUGUGCCAAUGGAAAAGUCCAGCUAGAAGAACUCGUUUUCAAUAUCACGUUCUUUUUCCCAACUGCUACAUUUUGUUGCAGAUCUGCCAUAGAACAGGAGGCCAAACAUAAUUCUGUGCACUCUGAUUAAUGUCUUUUUAUGUUCUAAAGAUGCCAGUCUAUUCCAUAUUUAAGCCUAUUCGCAAUUAUUAGCAUUCUUCUGUUCUAUUUUUUUAAGGGGUAUCAGGGGUCUUGUAUGUAAGUGGAUUUGUGAGAAAAGCAAUUCAUCUAAAGCAUCGGUUCCCAAACUGGGGUACGCGUACCCCCAGGGGUACGCGAAGUGGUUACGGGGGGUACGCGGGGAGAAAAUUUCCGCGAUAACAGAAAACGGACGGAAUUCGCAGAAUGUACCGUUUGAAACAGAAUUGCAACUUUCAGACGGAAACAUCAUUUUGUGCAUUAAAAUCGCCCAAAUUCCCCUGUAUUUUGUCCUGCAAGGCUGUAUUUCUUUCUUAUAAACACAACAACGAUCGCAACGAUGAACAAGCAUUAAUUAGAAAACAAAACCACUGAGAAAAUGUCACGUCUGUGCUGAACUCCGCUCCGGCCACGCCCCCCUAUUCAACACAGACCUCCGUAGCCUGUCAAAUGAAUUCGCUCAUCUUCCCAAUCGCCUGCAAAUAAUGUUUUUUUAGUCUUCUGUUCCGUUGAUGGCCGGCAAACAACAACCUUAGAAGGUUUGGGUCAGUUGUGGCACAUCUUAUUCACUCAUUUUAAACCAUCAAUCUACCUCUGGGUGAACAAAAUGAGCCGAAACGGAUUAAGACGGAAUUAAAGUAAUAGGUGAAAAGGAAAACUUUUUUUUUUUCAACGGGGGGGGGGGGGGGUACGCAGCUGGAGAUUAAAUGUCUGAAGGGGUACGGGACUGUAAAAAGUUUGGGAACCACUGAUCUAAAGUAUGUUGUUUAAGCAUCAGAUUUGCACUCUGUUGUGAGAGGAAACUAAUGUAGAAUCUCUUUAAUUUAACACUGCCAGUGUUGUGAAUAGAUUGAAACUUCAAGACCAAUAGAGGAUUUAUACUUAUUUAUGUAUACAUUUAAAAAUGAACGGGUUAAGCACAAGUUAUGACUUGUGAUGUUAAAUUUGAGAUAGAGACAGUUGAACUGAGAUGGGAUUGAGAGCCCCCUGUGGUUUUGUUGUUUGUGCUCAUUUGGAUUAGUGGACUUUUCCGUGAUGCUAUCCCUGCCUUCAUACAAUCCCCCAGGCUUCUUCUAAGUGGCCAGUCCCUCCAGGAAUUCGCUUUUUAUCUUUUUUUAUUUUGCAAUCAAAAUGGUUCAUCAAAAAAUGUCUGUGGAACUGUGCACUUUUUGUGUCUUUAAACCCCACUUCAAUGCCACAUAUAGAAAAAAAAUGAAUGAGAGAUGAAAAUCCCUGACAUCAUACAGAUUAUCUAUUUGAGUAUUUUCUUUUUUUAUAUAUAUGUUUUGAAAUAAUAUUUUAAUAUAUUUUGUUUUUGUGUUUUCUUAUGUCUUCAUUUCAUGCAAUGGAUACAUAAGAACACUAAUUUGAGAUGUGCCAUCUGAUUUCACACAUUUCUGAGAACUUUCACAUACAAAAUGAUAUGGCCAUUUCAUUCAUACAAGAAUUGAAAUUAAGUUAAAAUAAAAUGUCAAAGGUUUGACCCUUUGAACUCUCAAGUUCUUGUGAACAUUUAGAACAGUAAUCAUGAGUAAUCCUGUACUAUUAAUAAAUGAAACUGAAUACAAAACCUAGUUAUUCAAAAUGUGUUGACCAUUCCUUGCCUUACUUCGUUGACAUUCUACUCACUCAAUUUACCCUUCAGUGGGCUCAUGCAUUUAGGAACGGGCUUUUAUUUUGAAAUGUCAUCUCUGCAAUACGAAAUAAUUAUCAGUUGGACACAACAAUAUGCCUUAAGUUUAAUAUCAAGUUCGAACACUAUUAAGAUAGAAAGAAAGACUUCUCUAUAAUAAAUAUUUGAAGAAAGAAUAGCGUGUGUAAGUAGUUCAUUUAACUUUUAAUGAGAUGACAUUUAUAGAUAAAACUAUGUUAUGAACGUUAAGCGAAUGUCUAAUGCCAAGCAAACUAACUCCAUCACACACCUGACUCCAGUGGUUUAGACAGACUGUGCAUAACACUAUACCACCAUCAGGAGGCCAGAAGAAGCGGCAAUCAUUUUAUGGAUUUUGCUUUAAAUUUGCGAAUCGCGAAAAACUGGAGGGAGUGAGUAGUUCUGAAUUUCAUUUACUGCAGGUAGCCUAGGCCUAGAUGGUGGAUUAAUGGAUGGUGGAUUAACUCUCCGCGAGAUCGAUUGGACUUUCUGAGAAUGAAUCAAUGAUUCCUCAUCUCCCAUUUUGAUUAACUGAUUACAGUGGAUUGGACAAGGGCAGCCAUCAUGUAGGAAAAAAAGACCAUCUGUGUAUUUUGUUCUUUCUUGACUGAGCUUGACUGGAACCGAAGAAGCUGCUAACAGUUUUAGUCAUAGUCCCUCUUACCUCUCAUUGUAUUUACUGCCAGAAAAGUAAUGCUGUCCUACACACACUGAACGUCAAAUAAAUAACAGAGAAGCCCCCGCAGCACAAAAAACUCAAAACUCAAACUCAAAUCAAAAUGCUCAAAGGAAGAGAUUAACAGAGACAACUCAUAUAUGAUAUACAAUUAAUAUUAAAGGCUAUCACACAUGUAGGCAUGUUACAUUUAACCUUAAACUGAUUUGACAUUGACUAUGCACAGCCUGCGCUCCACACACACUGACAGAAGGAGCGGGGUCCCUCUUUGAGGUUUACUCUCUGAAGGUCACUGUGGGAUCUCUGAAGGUCACUGUGGGAUGUUUGAGUCCUACCUCAGAGAAGCCCGGCAGGCUGCAGCACAUAAGCAAUCUUUGGAGGCUCUUUGAGCUUCUUUGUCACAAACGCAGCUGUUAUCAUCUGCUGUCAAACUCUUACAAUAGAACAAAAAUGGCACUGUAGAAAUUAGCAGCUCAAAUGGAAAUGCCAGUGGUCAGACCAAAUAACAACAACAACGACAACAACAAAACAAAAAAAACCCAUUCAAUUAAAGAUCAAUAUGAAAUUGCACUCCGUGAUCCAAGCCAUUUUUUCCUCAGAGCAAUUUUACAUUCACACCCUCAUCCCCCUCACACCCUGACUGUUGCAUUUCCCAAUCAAAGAUACAGGCUCUUCUCAUAGUGUCUCAAUCAAAGAUACAGGCUCUUAUCAUAGUGUCUCAAUCAGAGGUCAUUCAGAAUGCCAGCUAUUUCAGACACUUUCAAACACUGCCGCACUCUAUAUGGACAAAGCUCAAUUUACUGAAGAAAGUCACCUUGGCCCAAAUCAAGGGUGACUAUUUUAUCCUUCAUUGAAUAAACUGAUGUUGAACGAAGUAGAUCCCAGGAUUGCCAAAGCUUUCAGGCGAGGAAGCGUUCCAUUCACGAUAUUCUGCAGCAGAGGCGACUGGGAAAUCCCCCUGGACAUGUAUCACUGGAUGACUGCUCUUUUCACAGACCCUAUUAAAGUCCCUGUCCUGACAUUGAUUAAACCCCUAAAAAUUCACCUCUGUUCCUAAAUAUAUAAAAAAAGAAAUCCCUUCAUGGCUUGCAUGUAUCUCUACACCUGCCUCAUUUAGUAUUCACACAUAUAUAUUAGCACAGCCUCUAUCUAUCUGCCUGGCUUGACUACGUUAUCAAACGGCUAAUAGUGUGUUGCUGAUGUUAUAUAAACUUUGGUUCUGAUCGCCAGCUCUGAUUUAGCAGAUUCAAAUAAUAAAAUAAUAAACAUCCAGAUGUGUACUCUGUGACAUAUGACACCCAGGCUGUCUAAAACCUGACAUUGGUGCACUAUAGUUCCAAGGUGGCACUGACAGCUUAUUUUGCUCAUGAUAUGUUGUGUAUCAUAUAAAAAACACCAUAUAGACAUGUUAACAAGGUUAAAAACUUGAUUUUCACCGGCGAGGGGGGGGGGGGGAUCUUUAAACAAUGCUAGAAAUAGCUGAUGCACUCUCUCAUUUGAUAUAUUACAGACCUGAUGUGAGUGAGUGCUUUUAGAUAAAACAGCGAUGGCAAAUUUAAUCAGGAAUCUCCAGGGACAAUUUUUACCGGAAUGGACCCUCUUAAAACUGCCUUUGUGAAUAGUGGCUCUCACUUUUGAUAUCUAUGCUUUUAGUGAAGCAAUACCAUGUUAAUGAUGCCAUUAUGAAUAAUGCUAUCACUUUAGCAAAUUCACGUAGCUCUGUAGAUGAAAGCCAUCGCUCAGAGCCAAGGCCUACACAGCACUCCGAAGAGGGCACGGUCAAAUGCUAAGAUCAAAGAGGUGCAAUUAGUUGUUUACAUUUCUAUAUACGGUACCUGUACAUUCUGGGCUGUAAGUGUGUGUGUGUGAGUGUGUGUACAUUUGUUGUGAAGGGCCUUUUUUGCAAAGGCCCGGACACAACAUUCCUCAUUGUCUUUUCGUCUGUACUCAAACAAAUAGUAAAAAAUCUACAUCAACUCCAUCAAAAUCAUCAUCAUGUAAGCACACCACUUGGAUGUACAGUAUCUGACACCUGCUUCAGGUUGGCACAGCAUUGUCCAUUUACUGUAGUCCACAAAAAAACAGAGAGGUAGAAAUUCAACAACAGCCAUCCAAACCGGGGCAGGAAAUCUGAGGCGUUGCCAGAUAUACACUCUUCAUCUUUCCUCCUCUUCUAUGUUUGGAUGCAACCAAAUCUGUCCAAGGUCACAUGGGAUGAAUUGCACUUGUGACCACUUAUCUGGCAACCCAGAAUCCUAGAGUGCAUAGCUUAUCUUCCCACUGACCAGAUGUCAUCCCUCCUGAGAUCAGCUCCUCUUCCCACAAAAGCCCCAUUCGCUGUUCUUUUUUUUAAUACAAAACUCCUCUUGUGAUAUUAUCACGUCACUCACUAUUAUCGUCACCCUCCUGGGUAUCAGACUGAAGUCUCCUUGUAAAUGGAGGUCAAAGGACAGCUGUUGCAGCUGUUCCUUCAUGUCUUUGAGAAUCCAUGAUGAAGAUCAACUCCACCCAGAUGGUAGCUGACCUCGGAUCAGAUCAACAUCAUAACUCCACCCUGAUGGUAGCUGACCUCGGAUCAGAUCAACAUCAUAACUCCACCCUGAUGGUAGCUGACCUCGGAUCAGAUCAACAUCAUAACUCCACCCUGAUGGUAGCUGACCUCGGAUCAGAUCUGGCCCAGUUCCGGUGCGGUUCUGGCCUUGAGAUCUGAUGCUCCUUCAUGUUCAUCACUCCUGGACAAAAUCACCUAUCCCAAUGAUGAACUGAGCUCACAGAUAUGAUGUCUGUGGUUCUGUGUCUGUGUGUGUGUGUGUGUGUGUGUGUGUGUGUGUGUGUGUGUGUGUGUGUGUGUGUGUGUGUGUGUAGCUCUCUCAUUCAUUUUCACAUAAACUCCUGUGGUAAAAGUUGGCAUAAAUCUGUUCCAGGGUCACCUGCUGUCCAGGUGUGGUGUGGGGUAAGGCCAGGUAUGAGGUCAGCAGUAACUCUCCGAGUACCUCACCG